Molecule: ribosomal RNA, 481 nt
Filed under: uncultured bacterium
Lineage: Bacteria
Description: partial 16S ribosomal RNA
Rfam family: Bacterial small subunit ribosomal RNA
Source: RNAcentral
GAUGAACGCUGGCGGCGUGCCUAACACAUGCAAGUCGAGCGAAGCACUUACUUUAGAUUUCUUCGGAAUGACGAAGUUUGUGACUGAGCGGCGGACGGGUGAGUAACGCGUGGGCAACCUGCCCUGUACAGGGGGAUAACAGUUAGAAAUGACUGCUAAUACCGCAUAAGCCCACAGCUUCGCAUGAAGCAGUGGGAAAAACUCCGGUGGUACAGGAUGGGCCCGCGUCUGAUUAGCUAGUUGGUAAGGUAACGGCUUACCAAGGCGACGAUCAGUAGCCGACCUGAGAGGGUGACCGGCCACAUUGGGACUGGGACACGGCCCAAACUCCUACGGGAGGCAGCAGUGGGGAAUAUUGCACAAUGGGGGAAACCCUGAUGCAGCGACGCCGCGUGAGCGAUGAAGUAUUUCGGUAUGUAAAGCUCUAUCAGCAGGGAAGAAAGUGACGGUACCUGACUAAGAAGCCCCGGCUAACUACGUG